This 460-nucleotide ribosomal RNA is filed under the name uncultured bacterium. RNAcentral's name for it is "partial 16S ribosomal RNA". It matches the Rfam family "Bacterial small subunit ribosomal RNA", at positions 338 to 795 of the family's 1533-position model. The record is from RNAcentral.
CCUACGGGAGGCAGCAGUGAGGAAUAUUGGUCAAUGGACGAGAGUCUGAACCAGCCAAGUAGCGUGAAGGAUGACUGCCCUAUGGGUUGUAAACUUCUUUUAUAAAGGAAUAAAACGAGGCACGUGUGCCUUUUUGCAUGUACUUUAUGAAUAAGGAUCGGCUAACUCCGUGCCAGCAGCCGCGGUAAUACGGAGGAUCCGACCGUUAUCCGGAUUUAUUGGGUGUAAAGGGAGCGUAGAUGGGUUGUUAAGUCAGUUGUGAAAGUGUGCGGCUCAACCGUAAAAUUGCAAUUGAUACUGGCAGUCUUGAGUACAGUUGAGGUAGGCGGAAUUCGUGGUGUAGCAGUGAAAUGCUUAGAUAUCAAGAAGAACCCCGAUUGCGAAGGCAGCUUACUAAACUGUGACUGACAUUGAUGCUCGAAAGUGUGGGUAUCAAACAGGAUUAGAUACCCUGGUAGUC